GGACUCCCGCCCGCCCUCACACCGCGCCUCACGCCAGGCCCCCAGGCUUCGGGUAAACCCUGCCUGUGGAAUGCAGAGUGAUUGACGCUGUCCACCUCAAAAGACGUCAGAAGCUUCAAGGAAGAUGUCCCAGGGGGACUGUGCUGUGAAACAGAUGAAACAGUGAAGAAGAGAAGAGCUCUUGCUAUGGAGUACCCAUGGACACUGCCUCCCCUGGUCUCCGGCUCUGCUGUGCGUGCUAGAGCUGGCAUCAUGCAGGGUAUUUUGCAACAUAUAUGUCUGUGUACCUCGUGUGUUUUUGGUGCCCGUGGAGGCCAGAAGAGGGCACUGGAUGCUCUGGGACUGGAAAAGCAGACGGUUGUGAGCCACCACAUGGGUGCUGGGAAUCAAACCCAGGUCCUCUAGAAGACCACUCCUGUUCUUGGGCCCGCCUGACCACUUCUUCCUGUAGUUCAUCCAAUUCACUUCUAGAGGUGACCUCCCCAUCUGAGAUAGAAGCAAAGAAGAUCAAUUACCACCCCUCCAGAGUCAAGGAGAAUUGUCUGUUAACCUGAUGGUCACUAUGCCAUUUUCCCUUUGGAGCUCGUGCUUUCCGGUUUAGUUUCAGAUCCCUUUUCUUUAUUAUUUAUUAGACUCAGAGAGAGAGCAACACAGCCCACGAAUAAUGAUGAUGUUUACAACAUGUAUAUUUUCAAUACUUCAUGAAUGGUAACAGUAUAACUCCUAAUAUGUUUUAAGCAUUUUCAAUAUACUAAGAACAAUUUU
This 765-nucleotide long non-coding RNA is filed under the name Mus caroli (Ryukyu mouse). RNAcentral describes it as "lncRNA (MGP_CAROLIEiJ_G0002855.1)". Lineage: Eukaryota; Metazoa; Chordata; Mammalia; Rodentia; Muridae. The record is from RNAcentral.